RNAcentral lists this non-coding RNA (106 nucleotides) under Nitrosomonas sp. RNAcentral's name for it is "TPP sequence". It matches the Rfam family "TPP riboswitch aptamer (THI element)". From Rfam's summary of the family: Vitamin B(1) in its active form thiamin pyrophosphate (TPP) is an essential coenzyme that is synthesised by coupling of pyrimidine and thiazole moieties in bacteria. The previously detected thiamin-regulatory element, thi box was extended, resulting in a new, highly conserved RNA secondary structure, the THI element, which is widely distributed in eubacteria and also occurs in some archaea. Analysis of operon structures identified a large number of new candidate thiamin-regulated genes, mostly transporters, in various prokaryotic organisms. The record is from RNAcentral. Lineage: Bacteria; Pseudomonadati; Pseudomonadota; Betaproteobacteria; Nitrosomonadales; Nitrosomonadaceae.
AGCAUCAGCUAGGGGUCCGUUUUCAGAAUUGUCUGAUAUUUGGUGAGAUAGUCCCUUAAUACCUGACGCGGAUAAUGCCGCCGUAGGGAAGCUGGGAUUUAUCUUC